AGUCGAAGCGUUGGCCCAAUUGAUUGAUGGUGCUUGCACCUGAUUGAUUUUGGUCGCCAACGAGUGGCGGACGGGUGAGUAACACGUAGGUAACCUGCCCAGAAGCGGGGGACAACAUUUGGAAACAGAUGCUAAUACCGCAUAACAACGUUGUUCGCAUGAACAACGACUUAAAAGAUGGCUUUCUCGCUAUCACUUCAUGGAUGGACCUGCGGUGCAUUAGCUUGUUGGUGGGGUAACGGCCUACCAAGGCGAUGAUGCAAUAGCACGAGUUGAGAGACUGAUCGGCCACAAUGGAGACUGACACACGGCCCAUACUCCUACGGAAGGCGGG
This 334-nucleotide ribosomal RNA is filed under the name Limosilactobacillus fermentum. Its description in RNAcentral is "bacterial SSU rRNA". It matches the Rfam family "Bacterial small subunit ribosomal RNA", at positions 61 to 349 of the family's 1533-position model. Lineage: Bacteria; Bacillati; Bacillota; Bacilli; Lactobacillales; Lactobacillaceae. The record is from RNAcentral.